AUUGCCUACGGGGGGCAGCAGUGAGGAAUAUUGGUCAAUGGGCGGAAGCCUGAACCAGCCAAGUCGCGUGAGGGAAGAAGGCCCUGCGGGUCGCAGACCUCUUUGGACGGGGAGCAAGGCCGCCGACGUGUCGGCGGAAGGAGAGUACCCGUAGAACAAGCAUCGGCUAACUCCGUGCCAGCAGCCGCGGUAAUACGGAGGAUGCGAGCGUUAUCCGGAUUUAUUGGGUUUAAAGGGUGCGCAGGCGGAAGCGCAAGUCAGCGGUAAAAUUGAGAGGCUCAACCUCUUCCCGCCGUUGAAACUGG
RNAcentral lists this ribosomal RNA (305 nucleotides) under uncultured bacterium. Its description in RNAcentral is "bacterial SSU rRNA". It matches the Rfam family "Bacterial small subunit ribosomal RNA", at positions 334 to 636 of the family's 1533-position model. The record is from RNAcentral.